UUCGGAUGCUGACGAGUGGCGGACGGGUGAGUAAUGCGUAGGAAUCUGUCUUUGAGUGGGGGACAACCCAGGGAAACUUGGGCUAAUACCGCAUAAGCCCUGAGGGGGAAAGCGGGGGAUCUUCGGACCUCGCGCUGGAAGAGGAGCCUACGUCUGAUUAGCUAGUUGGUAGGGUAAAGGCCUACCAAGGCGACGAUCGGUAGCUGGUCUGAGAGGACGACCAGCCACACUGGGACUGAGACACGGCCCAGACUCCUACGGGAGGCAGCAGUGGGGAAUUUUUCGCAAUGGGGGCGACCCUGACGAAGCAAUGCCGCGUGAAUGAAGAAGGCCUUCGGGUUGUAAAGUUCUUUCGUGGAAGGACGAAAAGGUGGGUGCUAAUAUCGCCUGCUGUUGACGUGUAAUCCAAGAAGAAGCACCGGCUAACUCCGUGCCAGCAGCCGCGGUAAUACGGGGGGUGCAAGCGUUAAUCGGAAUCACUGGGCGUAAAGGGUGCGUAGGCGGUGCAUUAGGUCUGUCGUGAAAUCCCCGGGCUCAACCUGGGAAUGGCGGUGGAAACCGGUGUACUAGAGUAUGGGAGAGGGUGGUGUAAUUCCAGGUGUAGCGGUGAAAUGCGUAGAGAUCUGGAGGAACAUCAGUGGCGAAGGCGGCCACCUGGCCCAAUACUGACGCUGAGGCACGACAGCGUGGGGAGCAUACAGGAUUAGAUACCCGGGUAGUCCACGCCCUUACACGAUGAAUACUAGAUGUCUGGUGCCAAGCGUACUGAGUGUCGUAGCUCAAGC
RNAcentral lists this ribosomal RNA (785 nucleotides) under Acidithiobacillus thiooxidans ATCC 19377. Its description in RNAcentral is "bacterial SSU rRNA". It matches the Rfam family "Bacterial small subunit ribosomal RNA", at positions 79 to 858 of the family's 1533-position model. Lineage: Bacteria; Pseudomonadati; Pseudomonadota; Acidithiobacillia; Acidithiobacillales; Acidithiobacillaceae. The record is from RNAcentral.